Long non-coding RNA from Lagenorhynchus albirostris (white-beaked dolphin), 833 nucleotides. RefSeq lists it as uncharacterized. The transcript is spliced from 2 exons. Lineage: Eukaryota; Metazoa; Chordata; Mammalia; Artiodactyla; Delphinidae. The record is from RefSeq and is a predicted model, not a curated record.
UAAAAAUAAAUAAAUAAGGAAAAGAAGACUGACUCAUCCAAUUAAAAAAAAAAAAGAAAUUCUCUUGUCCUGGAUUCAAGAGAAUGGAUGAAGUAAAAGGAUGAGGAAGAACAAGAAGAGGAAAUGUGAGCGUGGAGAGGGUAGGAGGAAGAGCAGAAGGCAAAUAAGUGUAUGUGCUUCCCUUGCCAUCCCUGACUUUUUUUUUUUUUUUUUUUUUUUGCGCUUCAGGAAAACCCAAAAGCCAGAGAAGAGCACGGAGGUGGUCACCACUGCAUGUGAACAAAAAGGUGGAGAGAAGAGAAUGGUGGUAAUCUGCGCAGGCAACUGGAGGGUGACCUGAGUGCAUCUCGCCAGGGAACAGUCCCUGUUCCAUAGAACCCCUGAAGAUGCCAGGCUCUUAUGUUUAGAUGGGGGGGCCGAAGGCGUCUGUGGGGUCACCACAUACAUCACUCCUGGAGGUGUUGUUCACUCUUUGUAAAGAGUGUCCCUGGUGAGGUUCCACAUCUCCCUCUGCAGGACCCAGCCUUGCCCUCCCAACCCGCCGAGGUCAGCAGGCAACAUCCCCAGUUAAUCACCAGGUUCUGGUCUGACACCUGUGAGGACUGUGACCUGGAGGCCUCAGCCUGAGACUCAGAGGGGAUGGAGCCUGUGCAGCGUCUGGCAGCUUAAAUGAGACACGAAGCCAAGGAAGGAGGGCCGCCUCUCUGCUCCCCCUCCGCUCCUGAGUCAGCUAGUGAGUGCCGGUUACUUCCUGUCGGAGCUGUACAGAUUUAGCAUAAAUUUUAGAUAUAGGUCUUACUUUUAACAGUGAAAGGCUGUUACAUCAAGCAAAA